AUUGAUAUACAACACUCACAUUCACACCUUUAUAUAAUAGCAUAAUAACUACACUACAUUUAAUGAUGAAGACAAACAUCCUACACAUUUGUUAUCCAAAUGACCAAAUGUCAACAAUAAGAAAACACAAACAUUAAAUGAGCCAAUAGUCAUGAAGUCUUUGCUCCUUCUGACAAUGACAAAACUUCUCGCUCAUCUUUUCCUUAUGAAAGCAUCUAAAGGUAAAGAGGCUAUCCAAAGAUAACCCACCAUAAAUCAUGCCAAUCUCCUUCUGUUUUCGUUCUUCUUCUCAUGCCUACCAUACAUCAAGACAACCAAAAAGAAUUAGUGUGCUUAAAUCCAAUAAUCAAUUUUAUAUUAUCUAAACAAAGUCCCACCAUCACAAGUGUUUCCUUUGCUACAAUCAGAAGAUGUAAGCAACCGUGCUGAUUCCUAUUCCAUAUGUCAUUUCCUGAAAUCAAAAGGAAGAAAAAGCUUUAAGCUUUGAUUCCCAUUCUCGUUCCAUUUCCUCCGCUCCUCUCAUUUCGCCCAGAGCAUUAUUCCCUUCACUAUCAAGCCUAUAUUUUUUUGCUCCUGACUUCUUUCUACCUAUAAGUUACCUCUUCAAAAGUUAAAAAAAAUGCGAAAUAUCAUUUCACUUUUGAAAGAUUAUGAAAAAAUUUACAUAGAAUUCUACGUGUCAAUAUCUGAAUAUUUUAAGUAUUUUGCUUAAAUGAAAAUUAAAAUGUGAGUUUUGUAAAUUUUUAAAAAAUUAAUUAAAAAAAGUAGUUACUCCAUAUGGGCAAAGAAAAAUUUUUCCUCCGCUGAUUUAAAGCUGCCGUAAGGAAUAAUUUU
Molecule: long non-coding RNA, 834 nt
Filed under: Eucalyptus grandis
Lineage: Eukaryota; Viridiplantae; Streptophyta; Magnoliopsida; Myrtales; Myrtaceae
Description: long non-coding RNA (EGRA_LNC001348)
Source: RNAcentral